AAUAGAUCAUGACAAUAGUUUCAGUCCCAGAUGAAAAGCUGUGAUUACUGUUAUGACAUCACCUGAGAUU
Molecule: small nucleolar RNA, 70 nt
Organism: Xyrauchen texanus (razorback sucker)
Lineage: Eukaryota; Metazoa; Chordata; Actinopteri; Cypriniformes; Catostomidae
Product: small nucleolar RNA SNORD73
Exons: 1
Source: RefSeq, a predicted model, not a curated record